RNAcentral lists this ribosomal RNA (399 nucleotides) under Brucella anthropi. Its description in RNAcentral is "Ochrobactrum anthropi partial 16S ribosomal RNA". It matches the Rfam family "Bacterial small subunit ribosomal RNA", at positions 464 to 862 of the family's 1533-position model. The record is from RNAcentral. Lineage: Bacteria; Pseudomonadati; Pseudomonadota; Alphaproteobacteria; Hyphomicrobiales; Brucellaceae.
AGAUAAUGACGGUAUCCGGAGAAUAUGCCCCGGCUAACUUCGUGCCAGCAGCCGCGGUAAUACGAAGGGGGCAAGCGUUUUUCGGAAUUACUGGGCGUAAAGCGCGUGUAGGCGGUUUUUUAAGUCAGGGGUGAAAUCCCGGGGCUCAACCCUGGAACUGCAUUUUUAUACUCGAAGUCUUGAGUAUGUCAGAGGGGGGUGGAAUUCCGAGUGUAGCGGUGAAAUUCGUAGAUAUUUGGAGGAACACCGAUGGCGAAGGCAGCCCCCUGGUCCAAUACUGACGCUCAGGUGCGAAAGCGUGGGGAGCAAACAGGAUUAGAUACCCUGGUAGUCCACGCCCUAAACGAUGUCAUAUUAGCUGUUGGGCCUUUAGGCUUUAGUGGCGCAGCUAACGCGUGA